This 5404-nucleotide long non-coding RNA is filed under the name Limulus polyphemus (Atlantic horseshoe crab). Its description in RNAcentral is "uncharacterized LOC111086520, transcript variant X4". The record is from RNAcentral. Lineage: Eukaryota; Metazoa; Arthropoda; Merostomata; Xiphosura; Limulidae.
UUCAAAACAACAACAGAAAAAACAAAACUGGUGGGCUUGUGGUAAAUUAACUGACUUACAACGCUAAAAUAUGCAGGUUUUUCGAAUGCCUAAGGUGGAUCCUUGUGCUAAAAAUAACAACAACAAUACGAAACACUAAUAUCAUACUAUUGCAUUAUCGAUGGAUCUUGUCGCAACGAUUUUAAUGGCGUACCAUGUUUCUGCAACUGUUACAAUCUACAGCCGUAAUUCAAUGUGUGAGUACUGCCACUAGUAUGUGUAGACGCAUAGGACUUGCUACACUUCCCACGUUCUUUCUUUCGGAGAUUUCUAACCAGUCUGCUAACACUGUAAAGUGUAAUAACAUUAACAGCAACAACUAUGGAUUUCCCACCUUCAAUUUAUGACAGUUGUGUUGAUCCUGUGGAUGGAUGGAUGUCUGGAGUUCAGCCUUAACUUUAGUUAGAAUGAGCUAUUUUGGUGACACAGCUCUACCAUUACGAAUGUUGUUCCAAAGUUAGCCUUGUAAUUUUAUUGUGCUCUUUCCAUGUUACCGACAGAAUAACGUUUGUAUCUUGAGUUCUUAAUAUGGAAAACAUGCAGUACCUGCAGGGUGCCACCAUGUUGGAAUAAUUUGGAACUGCUAGUUGAGCAGACUGGACUGUUCAACCAAAUAAGCAGAACACAUUCCAGGGCAGCGAGCUGGAAUGGUUUUGCGAAAAUGACUUUUCAGGAUUUACAGUUUUAAAAAGAAAAAAGCAGAAAGAAUUUAGGAGAGCUUGACAUCAUGAUAAGAUUGGAGAUGAAAGUAGAAGACUAUGAGACUUCAACAUCCCACGAAGUUCUGGUUAACAGACUUGGUGAUUUAUUAGAAUCUAAAUACGGUUAUUUUAGUACAACUCUGAAGGGGAUCUUGAUACGUCUCUAACAAAUUCUUUGGAAAGUGAAGAUUCAGAUGUGCAGUGCCACAUUUGUAAUGUUAUUCUGAAGGAAAGUGAAAGCUAUAGAAAGCACAUGUCUGUACAUCGCAAGAAGUCACUGCAGAGAAAGAAAGAGGAGAUUACUAAAUAUUUUAAUUUUCCAGUCUACUAUGAUCCAUAUGAAAGUGACAUGGAACUUUGGUGUGAAGAUGAGGAUUAUACAAAAUCUUGUAGUGAACUCAAAUUAGUUAGUAGAGCCAAAAAACAAGGUAACAAAAUGUCCAAAAGGAAAACAUUGAAGGAACUACCAGCACCAUUUUCUACGAGAGAAAAUUGUCCCGAGUGCAAGGAGCCUUUUUACUAUCGCAAAUCAUUUCUUGCUCACCUUAGACUGAUUCACAAGGUCACUGAUGCAUCUGUCCUGCUAGCCAUCAAGUGUAAAGAUCAUGAAGAGCCAGCUUGCAACAAGUAAUGGGAAACAGAAGAACUUAAGAAGACAUCAUUUAACAUUAAUAGUGUAUUGUGCUCUUUUCAGGUCCCCAUCACUGGGGUGUAUUCAGUUUAAUACCUUGUUUUAUAGUUAUAUUAGAUGAUGUGCUAUUAUGGAGUGUUUAUGUAAAUAUUUUAUUUACUUUGUGUGUAAGGAUACAAAAAGAGAUUUAUGUUCUUGUAUGCAAUAAUGAUAUUGUUACAAAUAAGACUCAAAAACAAAUAUCUAUAUAUAUAUAUGUGUGUGUGUGUGUUUCUAUAUUAUACUUAGAACCAGAUUGUUUAUUAAUUGGAAAUAUUUACUCUAGAGAAAUAUGCAAUGAACACUGGGCUUUUAUGUUUUUGCUUUUGUUUUGAAGCUGUUUUUAUACCUUAAUUGGAAAUAUGUAUUCUAGACAAAUGUGUAAUGAAUACUGUGCUUUUAUGUUUCUGUUUUUAUUUUUAAAGCUAUUUUUAUAUUUAAACUAAAUAGGGAAAUUAUUAUAUUUAGAUAUCUUUGUAAGUGUCUGAAGUUUGAAAACUCUCAUAAUUUAUUUUAUCAAAGGACAUAGUUUAUUCUGUUCAGUUAACAAUGUUCAGUUAACCAUCUAAUGCAGCAUUUAUAAUCCAGCUAACAUCAUCAGUGUUCCAGCAUGUACAACAGGAUAAUAUAAAAAAAAAUAUCAUUUCUCCUGAAUUCUUUGUAAGGUUUAUGCUGUUUGUAUGUAUUAAUUGAAUCUUAUGAGCAGACUUUUGAGGGGAUAAAGAUAAUUUACAUUUUGAAAAUGUAGUCUCCAGUGGGAGAUGAUGCAGAGAAUCGUUGUGGGGCAUAAUAUGGGUGGUGGGAUCCAUGUAUAUUGGAAACAAUCUUUAAUUGUUUGUAAAGGCUUAUAUGUUCUUAAAGGCAUCAUCUAUACUAAAUUCAAACUGAUACAAUACUCUUAUUGGAUUGUUUGUAGAGAGAGAUGUAUUGUUUUCUGUUUAUUCCUAUUCAACCUUGUUAGAUAAAACAACACGCACUUACAGAAAUAACUAUUUAAUUUUACUGUUUUCAUGAAAUGAUAUAUAUAUAUAUAUAUAUGUGUGUGUGUGUGAGUUUUAACUAAAAAACAAUUAUGAAAGACUAACAACUUAUCAUGUAUUGGUUUUAUACUAGUAAAGUUCUAACUCAUAGUAAGGUAAACAGAGUAUAAACCCAAGCAAUUGUUUAGAUGUUUGAAUCCGUAAGUCCCAUGGUUUAUUAUUUUGUUGUGUGCUUACUACUUGAAGUGUUCAUUUUACAACUAAAAGUAUCAAAUAUGUUUGUGGUAUUAACAUUAUUACUCACGUUAGAACGUUAUAGAUAAAGUUCAGUGAAACAUCUCAAAAACCAGACAUUAAAUACUCAUCAGUACUAGGAAUGGGCUGUUUUCUAAACUUCUCUACCUUCAUUUAUGUAAACCAGUUGUACCUCACUUUAGUUGCCUUGUCUUUAAACUGAAAACUAGCUAAUUUUUCCAUUCAAAAAAAUAUAAAUAAAACUUGAAGAGUUUGCAAAGAUUGAAAUCAAUCAUGCCAAUAUGUAUAUGAUUUUUAAAUACAAAUUUUAGAGUUAUAAUUGUAGUAGUUUUGUUUUAAAAAAAAUAAUUAAAUAUUGAUACAAUUUGACAAAUAGACAGAAAGUUAUUUUUUAUACCAUGUAUUUAUUUUCAUGGUUACAGUUAUUGAAAGUCAAAUUCACAAAAUGUACCAAUCAUUUGAAUUAGAUAUACUUCCAGCUUCGGGCAGGCUACAGAAGUUUUACCUUGUAUAUUAAUACUGAUAAUCAUAUUAGAUGUUAAAGUUUUUACUUUACACAGUUAUUAACAUAUCCAGAUAUAAAUCUUUACUCAUUUGCAUGCAUAUUAUAAGAAAAUUAGUUUUCAAUUUUUUAAAAGUGUUUUUUUUUCUUCAUUUGCAUAGAUUCAACUCAUGUAACUAAAAAAUGUUUACCGAAGUUUGUGUCAAUAAUAUUUUGACAUCAAGUAGUUCAAAAUUUAAAAAACACCACCAGACUGUAACACUGCCAAACACUUCUGUCCAAGAUUAAUUAUUAUCUAUAUUAAUUUUUAAAUUGAUGUUUUAACCUUAGCUAUUUUUAUACAAAAAACAACUUGUUUUGUAGAAUUACUAAAUGUUGGACUUGAACUGUAUUGAAAUGUAUUUUUUCACUCAUGUCAAUAAACCAAUAAUGUGCAUUGCAUGUUAGCAGUAUGUCUGUUUUGAGGCAUAUGUUUAUUUUUAUCAUUAUACAUGUGUUUUAGUGAAUCCAGUUAUGAGCAUUUACUACAUGCAUCAGAAUCCUUUAAAUGUAAAAUAAGUAAUAUUGUUUUGUUGAUGCUUUAAAGAACAUGAAUUUUUAUUGUCUAAAGUCUACAAGAAUAUUCUUUCUUUUUAAGUGCUAUUAAUAUGAAUGAAUUAUUGUUUUGUUACUUUUUAUAAAUAAGUUGUAGUUUGCAAGUCAAAACUUUAAGAUUUAAGUGUUACAAAAACAUCAUUUAGCAGACUAAGCAAGUAUUCUGAUUUUGUCUCUAUUGAUUGGUAGGGUUCUUUGAAUAUGGAAGAGGCUAUGAAGAAACAGCAAAAUCAAACAAUAUCUAUUGUGAUGUUUGUGGAAAACGGUAUUCAUCCAAACCAUCUUUGUGGUCACAUAGACAUCACCAGCACAAGAGUCACCGACACUUCUCCUGACAAGAAAAUUGGACUGUGCUCAAAUUUGCAGAUCAGUCAUCUGUGUUAUCAGAUUCAGAUCGAUUUUGUGCAAUUUGUCAACAGCUGUUUGCAAACAAAUACAGCUUCAGACGACACCAGCUGAUGCACCAACCCUAUCGAAAAAAAUUUAAGUGUUCUUUCUGCUCUAAACAAUUCAGUUGGCCAGGAGACAUGAAAGCUCAUAUUAAAAUGUAUCAUAAAAAAUUCAUUACCUGUUAAAAUGCAGGAACUUUGACCCUUAUGAACAUGCUUUAAAUCUGGACAGAAGUAUAAAUGCAGCAUAUGUCAUGCCAGAUUUGCAUUCACAUCAGGAUUGAGUAGACAUAAGAAGUUCAUACAUGGAAGGACUGGAAUAAACAUCUGCUCAAUAUGUGGAAAGGGUUAUCAGAGACCUGACACUUUAGUUUCUCACAUGAAGACUGUUCACCAGGAGUCAGAAAUGUGGAAGAAGUCAUUCUCUGUGAAGUUAGCCUAAAUAAGACUUGUUUGUUGUGGCACCAACAUUUAUUCAAAUUUCGAUACUCAAAGGAAAGUUAGAAAAACCAGAUGUUGGUGUAUGGUAGAUAACAUUGUAUAGUUUACAAACAACAAGACUUGUUAAGAUAUUAUCAGGUGUGACAACUAGAUACAUGUUCAAUGUCUCCUUUUUCCUCUGUAUCUCUCAAAGCUAUCAGAAAACUUUUGCUUUCUUACUGUAUUCUAAUUUUCUCUGCCACAAAUUGUGAUUUUGCAUUAGUGAUUUCCUUAUACUCAUUUUUCAUGUAGCCCUGUUUCUUCUGUGUGUAUUACAUCAUACAUCUGUUUGCAACACACUGUUUAUCAUGUAUAUUCUCGGUGAUAUUGGACACAUUUAUUUUCCUUUUUUACUGUUUAACUGAUAACUUUACCAAGCAAAAACUCAGUUAAUAGUUGAUUAUUUAAGUAUUUCAAGAAGUUUUCUUUUGAGACCUGGUUGAAGACAGACUGGCAGAUAUGAAGAAUUUUCAUACAGCUGUGUGUUAAUAUUCUGUUUUGUAACUAUAUUUUUAUGUAGUCAUAUAUAUAUAUAUAUGGCACAAAAUGCCAGUUAGCCAAAAAAUGUGCUUACAAUAUAUUUGUUGGUAAUCUUUGCUUUUGUUUUUUAGGCAAUGUAAUGUAAAAAUAAUUAUGAAUGAAGAAUUAAGGCUGAUAUAAAUUAGUUGUACACAUCAGCUUUCUCUCUCAGACAUCAAGUUUGUAAUCAGGAAUGAUGACUGAAUGUAAGAUUGUUUUUUUUUACUUCAUUUCAUUUUCUUUCUUUUUUUCUUGUUAAAUUUGGUUUUCUUUUU